RNAcentral lists this ribosomal RNA (506 nucleotides) under uncultured Bacillota bacterium. RNAcentral's name for it is "bacterial SSU rRNA". It matches the Rfam family "Bacterial small subunit ribosomal RNA", at positions 8 to 526 of the family's 1533-position model. The record is from RNAcentral. Lineage: Bacteria; Bacillati; Bacillota.
AGAGUUUGAUCCUGGCUCAGGACGAACGCUGGCGGCGUGCCUAACACAUGCAAGUCGAGCGAGGAUAGAAAGCUUGCUUUUUAUCCUAGCGGCGGACGGGUGAGUAACGCGUGAGUAACCUGCCUUGUACAGGGGGAUAACAGAUGGAAACAUCUGCUAAUACCGCAUAAGACCACAUCACCGCAUGGUGGAGAGGUCAAAGGAGCAAUCCGGUACGAGAUGGACUCGCGUCCCAUUAGCUAGUUGGUAGGGUAAAGGCCUACCAAGGCGACGAUGGGUAGCCGACCUGAGAGGGUGAUCGGCCACACUGGGACUGAGACACGGCCCAGACUCCUACGGGAGGCAGCAGUGGGGAAUAUUGCGCAAUGGGGGAAACCCUGACGCAGCAACGCCGCGUGAGUGACGAAGGUUUUCGGAUCGUAAAACUCUGUCUUUGGGGAAGAAAAAAAUGACGGUACCCAAGGAGGAAGCCCCGGCUAACUACGUGCCAGCAGCCGCGGUAAUAC